Podarcis muralis (Common wall lizard) is the source of this 1857-nucleotide long non-coding RNA. Lineage: Eukaryota; Metazoa; Chordata; Lepidosauria; Squamata; Lacertidae. The record is from Ensembl.
GUAGUCCCACAUGAAUUAAAUGGAAGAAAUUAAAUAAAAUGCACAUUCUUAGAAAAAACCAAGAGCAGUAGGAUCUGCAUUUUCUCCUGGCCCAGACAGGGUUGGAUGCAGGAGUAUGUUCAGCAUUCCUUUCUGUGUAUAGGGCACAGUUUGAAGGGAAUCCAGAUGUGAAGGUCAGCUUCCAGAUGUGGGUUGUAUUUACUGGAUCAGGAUUCUCAGCAUAGGAAGUGUGUCAGCACUUUCUUCCAGUAUCUUAGGCCAGUCCAUAAGUGGGUGGGGACUGGAACAUCGCACGCAGGUGAUCAUUCCACCAGUGCAAGAAUCUCCACUUACCAGAGCGAACCAUCUCCCCACAAACUGUUCUGGGGGGCUAUCCUGACCCUCCAGAUCUGGAUAGUAUGGUCCCAAUGGAUACAGCCACCAACAGUGGUAGGGAGCAAGAAAGGCAAGAAAAGAGCUGGCGGAAUCCCCUUUUGCUGAAGCUGUUCUUUGACUUGCCAAUCAAGUGGAGUGGAAGAAGAAACCUUGUCCUUUCCCCCCUUCUAAAGCUUCUGGGCACACUGCUAGAUUUGAAGAGGUGUUUAUAGAUGACUUCAAUUAUCCUCCUCACAUAGACUGGGGACACGUAUUCUAGUCAAGACAAAGAGGUAAAACUGUGCCCUAGAACAGUUGGUCAUGGAAUCAACCAGGAAGUAUAGCUGUCUUAAGAUUUAUUUUUCUAAAAAAGAAGUAUUUUCAUAGUCAUUAAAGAAUUUAAAGUAGGCUUUGGAGCAGUGGUUUCUCAUUCUGUGUGCUUGUCAAACUAGCAAAGUGGCAAUGCACUCAGACACCAGCGUGUGUUGAAUUUUUCAGCUUUCAGAUUCCAAAUAUGCAGGGUGCUUAUUUUUUUGUAACAUGACCUGGGAAUGCACAAGGUGUUUUGGUUAAACUACUGCAAUUUAAUUUUGCUUGGUACAUAAAAUAUGUGUAAAAUCAAAUAGAAAUCAUUACAAAUGAUUGUCAAGUACUUGAAGUUAUACAUCAUCAUCAUCAUUAUUUAGCAUUACCUGACAUUUUCAGAAGGGAAAAUUAAAAUGCUUUGGUUUUCCAAAAGCAGUUUAUAUGCUUCUUCAUCAAACGUAGACAUACCAAGCUAAAUGUUGUUCAGUCACAAAAACAAUAGCAAAUUUGAAUUCCUCACCUCCAAAAAUCAUAUUUUAAAGACCACUCACUAAAGAAAUGUGCAAAAACCAAGUUUCACUCCUUAAAAUUGCAUGCCCUAGACGGCCAGCCUGGCCACCUGUUCAUCUUUAUACCUUCCCUGCCUAUACUGUCUCUUAGAAUCAAGAGCUGUUUUGAUGUAGUUACUAGACACUUCUGCUACUGAGAACUUAAUUAGUGUUCAGUGUUCCUAUGUAAAUAAAUGGAGGAAGGGACAAGAGAACCUCCAUAUUAUCCGACUGUCAUAACUAGAAAUUACCAUGAAAUUUACCACAGCUUCUUAAAAUCUCUCCAUUUUUAACCAUCAUUAUUUCAACAAACCCCAAAUCAUUAUUAAGAGUGUAGCAGGAAGUUGCAUCACGCUCUAUUGCCACUCGUACCAGCAGUGUGCUGUUAAAUCAUAACAAACUUUUUCCAUAUUCUUGUGAAAAUACAUCUUCCUGUUGCAUAAAAUAUUGUUAAAUAACUCUGGGCACAAGCCAGAAAAUGCUUGCCAAGACUGAGUUUAUGUGAAAGCAAUGGAAUGGAACGUAUUUGUGACUAAGAUUGCAGCGCAACCCUAUCACAGGUACCUAGGAGAAAGUUACACUGAACUCAGUAGGACUAACUUUUGGGUAAACAGUAUAAAAUUGCAGUGCAUCUUCUUUCAUUGCAACU